Molecule: ribosomal RNA, 517 nt
Filed under: uncultured Planctomycetota bacterium
Lineage: Bacteria; Pseudomonadati; Planctomycetota
Description: bacterial SSU rRNA
Rfam family: Bacterial small subunit ribosomal RNA
Source: RNAcentral
GUAGAUUAUCUGCCCUCGGGUCCGGGAUAGCUGCGGGAAACUGCAGGUAAUACCGGAUAACAUCUCCGGAUCAAAGGUGUGAUUCCGCCCGAGGAUGAGUCUACAUCCUAUUAGCUAGUUGGUAGGGUAAUGGCCUACCAAGGCUUUGAUGGGUAGCAGGUGUGAGAGCACGACCUGCGUCAUUGGGACUGAGACACUGCCCAGACACCUACGGGUGGCUGCAGUCGAGAAUCUUCGGCAAUGGGCGCAAGCCUGACCGAGCGACGCCGCGUGUGGGAUGAAGGCCUUCGGGUUGUAAACCACUGUCAGAGGGGAUGAAAUGCGGGUGGGUUCUCCCAUUCGUUUGACAUAGCCUCAGAGGAAGGACGGGCUAAGUUCGUGCCAGCAGCCGCGGUAAGACGAACCGUCCAAACGUUAUUCGGAAUCACUGGGCUUAAAGGGUGCGUAGGCGGCGCGGAAAGUUGGGUGUGAAAUCCCUCGGCUUAACCGAGAAACUGCGCCCAAAACUUCCGUGCUC